Mauremys reevesii (Reeves's turtle) is the source of this 430-nucleotide long non-coding RNA. RefSeq lists it as uncharacterized. The transcript has 3 exons. The record is from RefSeq and is a predicted model, not a curated record. NCBI's taxonomy places the organism in Eukaryota, Metazoa, Chordata, Testudines, Geoemydidae.
CUUAGCUCUUGGCACCGUCCUGACCAACGUGACCCAGGAUAGACCGUUGCCUUGGCCUUGGCACCCAGAUCUGUGCCAAGCCUUUGGGUGCCAGGAGCCGGUGAAGCAGGACGAAUGCGGGAAGGAGCUCUAUAAUGUCCAGACCCAUCUGUGCUGCGAUAACACCACACACUGGAAGGUGACGGAAAAACCCAGCCCGACUUACGACUGCUGCGGCCUCGAAGUCUACGAUCAGAAAACGCAGGAGUGUUGCGAAGACCUCAGCAUAAAGCCCAAGCAGCACUGCAGACAAAAGGGCAAGCAAGCCGUCCCCUACAGAUCAGGUGCAGAGAGAUGCGGCUCUCUCUCAGCAGCGCCAGGUGCCAAGGGAAGAAACGGAUGAUGCAGAAGACAAGGGUCCCGGAGGCAGGAGGUCUCAGCAGGGGGAGGG